GAGGUACUCCCUCCGUCCGGAAUUACUCGUCAAAGAAAUGGAUGUAUCUAGACUUAUUUUAGUUCUAGAUACAUCCAUUUUUAUUCAUUUCCAUGACAAGUAAUUCCGGACGGAGGAAGUAUAUU
Non-coding RNA from Triticum aestivum (bread wheat), 125 nucleotides. Lineage: Eukaryota; Viridiplantae; Streptophyta; Magnoliopsida; Poales; Poaceae. The record is from Rfam.